GAGGGGUUGGCGCACCCACGUGGUGCUGGGUGAGGUGCAUGUUGUGGUUCUGCUCCUGACACAGCUCUUUUGCCAUGCAGGAAGCCUCUGAGGAAGGCUGCCUUUCUAAAGAUUAGAUCCAAGUUGAUGGAAGUAAUCCCAGCUGACUUGGGCAGCGCUAGGUCAGACCAUAAACCAGGUGCUGGUAUGCUUGCUUAGUACCUCUGGAAUACUCAAAGAUGUUUGUGUGUGUAGUCUAUCCUUCAUGGAAAUGAACUGCAGGCUGUGGUGAAUGUUAAAAUAGCUUCUUAGAUCUCUGCACAGAAUGAAAUGUUGCCCUGCAGCUAACUGAAAAACAUGGCUUCAAUGUGAGAAGUAACUGAAGCACACAUUGGCAGUGGGUGGCAGAAGGGCCCAAGGUUUCAAAAGCAAACUGCAUGGGACCGCUGAAGAAACAGUCCAUUGAAAACCCACCUCAUGUAAGUUUUAGGCAAAGGUGGUCUCCAGCCCUUUCAAGCAGAAUUUCAAGUUGCUGAGCUCAUCCUCCAGCACCACUUGGUACUACUCAGGGUAGCACUUCCAUUGCCAGGAUCCAGCUCAGUAGAACAGUCCAUCUUUGCUCUCAUCAUUUGGCCCAAGCACACCUCAGCACCCAGCAAGUUCCCUCAUUCCUACUGAAGAGAUGGGAAUCCAGUGUUCAUCCUGAGUACCCUGCUACACCUUCUGCUUCCGUUUCCAUUUGCAAGAAGUGUUUGCUGCUUCUGUGGAAUUUAUUAAAGAUUUCUUUAAUAAAACUACUGUUG
This 782-nucleotide long non-coding RNA is filed under the name Gallus gallus (chicken). The record is from RNAcentral. Lineage: Eukaryota; Metazoa; Chordata; Aves; Galliformes; Phasianidae.